AACUCUGAGCAACGGAUGACUCGGCUCACGCUUCGGUGAAGAACGCAGCCAGCUGCGAGACUUGGUAUAAAUUAAAAGACACUUUGAGCACAAAAUUUUCGAACACGCAUUGCUGUCUCGAGUGAUACCCAGGACCUCGCCUAUCUGAAGGUCU
This 154-nucleotide ribosomal RNA is filed under the name Stegodyphus mimosarum. RNAcentral describes it as "5.8S ribosomal RNA". It matches the Rfam family "5.8S ribosomal RNA". From Rfam's summary of the family: 5.8S ribosomal RNA (5.8S rRNA) is a component of the large subunit of the eukaryotic ribosome. It is transcribed by RNA polymerase I as part of the 45S precursor that also contains 18S and 28S rRNA. The record is from Rfam by way of RNAcentral. Lineage: Eukaryota; Metazoa; Arthropoda; Arachnida; Araneae; Eresidae.